UAUGUGGCGCGCCUCCUGAGACACUGCGGAAGGAUCAUA
RNAcentral lists this ribosomal RNA (39 nucleotides) under Steinernema abbasi. RNAcentral describes it as "partial 18S ribosomal RNA". The record is from RNAcentral. Lineage: Eukaryota; Metazoa; Nematoda; Chromadorea; Rhabditida; Steinernematidae.